GUGAAAGCAGGUUAUCUUGCUGGUGAUUCCUGUAUACCUGAGGUCUUCUGAAGACUAGGAGCUGACCUGUGAUCUGCAAUGACAUCUGGAGGCAGAAAUGAAGAGUUAGUAGAUGCUAACAUAAGCUAUGUGAUGAGGUCUGCAAGAAAGUGUGUUGUGUCUGCAGUCCUGGUCAUGGCAAGUGAAUUGCCUAAGACAGUCUUGAGCAGAGUGAUGGUGAGAUUUGACUUCUGGAGACUAUCUUAGACAUUGCCUGUUGGAAGCAAGCUUUGGGGCAGGCCUGGAAUAGCUGGAGAAGUGCCUUCCCUGCUCCUCCACAGCCUCACGUAGUCUGCCCUGCCCUUCUCUUUGUGAUUGUCUCUAGACUAGCCUUUCCCCUGGGAUGGGAGAGUUGAAGGAAAUCAGUAUUAGUCCUAUUGAUAUAAUAAAGACUGUGACUGUUCACAAACUGUUCUUUUUCUCUUUAAAACUGUAUGUUUUUGUCCUUCUGGUCAUGAAGGCUUAACAUUGGUGUUGCAGUUGAGAACAGGAUGGAGACAGCAGACAAUAAUGUUGGGAAUGAUUCUGCCCAUCCCUGUUGAGCCAUCUUCCAUGCAUUUUCCCUUCCUUUGUUCUGUGUUGUGCAGCAACAGGGACAUUUGGCUCAUCAUUUACAGCUGCUGUUCUGUCCUUUAAUACAGACUGUGAAUUUCACUAGCUGAUACUAAGGAUUUCUUUGAGUAUGUGCAUCAGACAGUUAUUUACCCCAAGCCUCCCGAAGCAACUUCUUGA
Long non-coding RNA from Numida meleagris (helmeted guineafowl), 771 nucleotides. RefSeq lists it as uncharacterized. The record is from RefSeq and is a predicted model, not a curated record. The transcript has 3 exons. NCBI's taxonomy places the organism in Eukaryota, Metazoa, Chordata, Aves, Galliformes, Numididae.